GUAUUGGGAGCGACAUGGAUUUGUUCUCAUCUAUUGCUAGCAUAGGGUCAUCAUUUGAGCUAGCUUCUAGGAUGGUGAGUGGGGUCUUUGUUCCUUAAAGGUUUAUAUCUUGGGUUUGGAAAGUGAUAAAGUUGAGAUUGAUGAACAAAAGAUUGUCAUGAGAAAGAAAAGCCCUAGGGACCUAGAAUAGAAAAAUAAGAAAGCUCUUGAUUGUAUUGUUUGAGACCUUCCCCCUCUAAAAAAAAAAAAGAAAAAAAAAUGGAGAAAAAGAAAAAGAAAAAAAGAAAGAUUCAAUAAGAUAGUGGGGAAGGGAUAAUAAAAA
Molecule: long non-coding RNA, 322 nt
Filed under: Brassica napus (rape)
Lineage: Eukaryota; Viridiplantae; Streptophyta; Magnoliopsida; Brassicales; Brassicaceae
Description: long non-coding RNA (BNAP_LNC012115)
Source: RNAcentral